GAUGAACGCUGGCGGCGUGCCUAAUACAUGCAAGUCGAGCGAACAGACGAGGAGCUUGCUCCUCUGACGUUAGCGGCGGACGGGUGAGUAACACGUGGAUAACCUACCUAUAAGACUGGGAUAACUUCGGGAAACCGGAGCUAAUACCGGAUAAUAUAUUGAACCGCAAGGUUCAAUAGUGAAAGACGGUUUUGCUGGCACUAAUAGAUGAAUCCGCGCCGCAUUAGCUAGUUGGUAAGGUAACGGCUUACCAAGGCGACGAUGCGUAGCCGACCCGAGAGGGAGAUCGGCCACACUGGAUCUGAGACACGGUCCAGACUCCUACGGGAGGCAGCAGUAGGGACUCUUCCGCAAUGGGCGAGAGCCUGACGGAGCAACGCCGCGUGAGUGAUGAAGGUCUUCGGAUCGUAAAACUCUGUUAUUAUGGAAGAACAAAUGUGUAAGUAACUAUGCACGUCUUGACGGUACCUAAUCAGAAAGCCACGGCUAACUACGUG
This 497-nucleotide ribosomal RNA is filed under the name uncultured bacterium. RNAcentral describes it as "partial 16S ribosomal RNA". It matches the Rfam family "Bacterial small subunit ribosomal RNA", at positions 28 to 507 of the family's 1533-position model. The record is from RNAcentral.